UACAGAGGCCUCAAGCGUUAUCCGGAAUCACUGGGCGUAAAGGGUGUGUAGGCGGCAGUAUUAGUCCUUCGUGAAAGGCCUUGGGCUUAACCUAGGGACCGCGGGGGAAACGGUACUGCUUUGAGGACACGAGAGGUAGAGGGAACUCAUGGUGUAGGGGUGAAAUCCGUUGAUAUCAUGGGGAACACCAAAUGCGAAGGCACUGUACUGGCACACUCCUGACGCUGAAAUACGAAAGCGUGGGUAGCGAACGGG
Molecule: ribosomal RNA, 255 nt
Filed under: uncultured bacterium
Lineage: Bacteria
Description: partial 16S ribosomal RNA
Rfam family: Bacterial small subunit ribosomal RNA
Source: RNAcentral